RNAcentral lists this unclassified non-coding RNA (570 nucleotides) under Hevea brasiliensis (rubber tree). Lineage: Eukaryota; Viridiplantae; Streptophyta; Magnoliopsida; Malpighiales; Euphorbiaceae. The record is from RNAcentral.
CACUUUGCACUCUUACACUGGAGGUGAAGCAUUUCAUUCUAUAUCAUUUCUAGUUAUAGUCCAGUGCGAAAUCACACUCAUCAAUUGUGAUGUUUCCAUUAAUUUAAAUACUUCGUCUUUGCUUUUGUUAGUUGAGUAUUUAACCUUUGGACCUUUAACUUUACUAAAGCCAAAGUCCUAGUGGACGUCUUUGGAUUAUUAUGUUUGCUUCAUCAAGAAGAAAAACCUUAUUAUUGGACCUGAUCUAUUACUGGGUAAAACUGGUAUUUUCCUAUGUGACAACAAUAAUGAAUGGUGUCAUCUUUAGGCACUUUUUGAAAAUUGGACUGAAUUAUGGUUGCAAAGCACUUAAUUUACUCAAAUACAACCUUUUAUUCCUUUUCAGUUUCUAUGGCUUAAGGUAAUUCUCGAUGCUAUGUAUAUUUUUUAUUUUAUAUAUCCAUAAGUUCAUGCUGGCUACUGCUACUUCUUAUGAAGGAGCUAUCUAGUCUUGUUGAUUUUGUUAUCUUUACCAAAACCUCUCUUGUUAUGUUUCUCUUUUUUAUAGGUAUUAUCAUUGAAUUGUUUGGG